Molecule: ribosomal RNA, 79 nt
Filed under: Periophthalmus magnuspinnatus
Lineage: Eukaryota; Metazoa; Chordata; Actinopteri; Gobiiformes; Gobiidae
Source: RNAcentral
UCAUAAGGCAAAACCUCCCACUCAGGGUUGGGCCUGGUUAGUAUUUGGAUGGGGGGCUGCAGGGAAUACCAGGUGCUAC